GAUGAAGAACGUAGCGAAAUGCGAUAAGUAAUGCGAAUUGCAGAAUUUCCGUGAGUCAUCGAAUCUUUGAACGCACAUUGCGCCCGCCAGUAUUCUGGCGGGCAUGCCUGUUCGAGCGUCAUUUCAACCCUCAAGACCCCUUCGGGGGACUUGGUGUUGGGGACCGGCACAGGGGGCCUGCCUGCUUGUCUCGCAGCGCCCCUCGCCGCCCCCGAAAUGAAUUGGCGGCCUCGUCGCGGCCUCCCCUGCGUAGUAGCACAACCUCGCAACGGGAAACGUGACGGCGGCCACUGCCGUAAAACAACCCCAAUUUUAUUAGAGUUGACCUCGAAUCAGGUAGGAAUACCCGCUGAACUUAAGCAUAUCAAUAAGCGGAGGA
RNAcentral lists this unclassified non-coding RNA (379 nucleotides) under soil metagenome. Its description in RNAcentral is "partial contains 5.8S ribosomal RNA, internal transcribed spacer 2, and large subunit ribosomal RNA". The stretch from base 1 to 121 matches the Rfam family "5.8S ribosomal RNA", at positions 35 to 154 of the family's 154-position model. The record is from RNAcentral.